RNAcentral lists this ribosomal RNA (500 nucleotides) under uncultured bacterium. RNAcentral describes it as "partial 16S ribosomal RNA". It matches the Rfam family "Bacterial small subunit ribosomal RNA", at positions 28 to 507 of the family's 1533-position model. The record is from RNAcentral.
GACGAACGCUGGCGGCGUGCUUAACACAUGCAAGUCGAACGGGUCUGCCCUGUUUUUUGCGGGGUGGGUCAGUGGCGAACGGGUGAGUAACACGUGAGUAACCUGCCCCUCACUUCUGGAUAACCGCUUGAAAGGGUGGCUAAUACGGGGUGUUCUGGCUGUGCCGCAUGGUGUGGCUGGGAAAGAUUCACUUUUGUGGUGUUUUGGUGGGGGAUGGGCUCGCGGCCUAUCAGCUUGUUGGUGGGGUGAUGGCCUGCCAAGGCUUUGACGGGUAGCCGGCCUGAGAGGGUGGGCGGUCACACGGGGACUGAGAUACGGCCCAGACUCCUGCGGGAGGCAGCAGUGGGGGGUAUUGCACAAUGGGCGGAAGCCUGAUGCAGCGACGUCGCGUGAGGGAUGGAGGCCUUCGGUUUGUGAACCUCUUUCGCCGGUGAAGAAGGUCCUGCUCUUUGUGGUGGGGUUGACGGUAGCCGGGUUAUGAAGCGCCGGCUAACUACGUG